GAAUUAAACUCUGAUCCUGUUCCCUGUCUUCUCAGUAUCUCACCAACCUUUAUUUCUUCUUUUCUGGGUUACCGAUUUUCAGCCGAUUUGUUUUCUACCAUUUUGUUUCUGACAGUGUCACCUGCAUCUGUGGUUCUCCUGCCUCUCUGCUCUUUGGCUGCUCCCCUUUCCCCCGGUGUCUCCUUACAUGGAGGAUAUAACCAAGAAAUCCGCCUUUGGUCUUCUUGAGGUUUUGCUUUGUCAUGCCUUCGUGGAGUACUUCAUUUACUUCUCUCCAGAUUUCUCUUUUACUGAGGCACCCUUCCCAUCAAUUGCAAACUGUCAACCAAGUUUACACAAUAUUGCCUUCCUUCCAUCACUGAGUCCCAUUCAACUAAAUACAUCAUACAGAAACAUCAGAACUAGGAAGAAUCACCAUGGACAAAUAAUAUUAAGGCAGAGUUGAGGAAAUCACCCAUAUCUGAGUUCAUUAGAAUGAAGAAUUAAAGUACUUUUCCAGCUUGUCACCAGGGACUCACUAACAAGCCACAAGAACCCAGUUUUCUAGCCCUGCUUACAAGUGCUGAUUGCCACCAGAGACUAAGGUCAAAUGCCAGAAGCCACAAACUCCAAACAAGCCUCCAUGACCCAAUUUUUGACUGGUUUGAUCCAGUUCAGACUCUGUGCUAACCCUCCAGAUGACCGUGGGAUUAUUACCACCUGCAGUAAAACCUUGGAUCUCGAGUAACUUGUUCUGCAAGUGUUCCACAACAUGAGCAAACAUUUCUAAUAAAUUUUAACUUGAUAAACGAGCA
This 794-nucleotide long non-coding RNA is filed under the name Felis catus (domestic cat). RNAcentral describes it as "lncRNA (ENSFCAG00000044154.2)". The record is from RNAcentral. Lineage: Eukaryota; Metazoa; Chordata; Mammalia; Carnivora; Felidae.